CUUAACUGCUUGGGACUGAUAGUCUAGAGUGAGGGAGAGGCAGAUGGAAUUGGUGGUGUAGGGGUAAAAUCCGUAGAUAUCACCAAGAAUACCCAUUGCGAAGGCGAUCUGCUGGAACUCAACUGACGCUAAGGCGCGAAAGCGUGGGGAGCAAACAGGAUUAGAUACCCUGGUAGUCCACGCCCUAAACGAUGUACACUAGUUGUUGGGGUGCUAGUCAUCUCAGUAAUGCAGCUAACGCAUUAAGUGUACCGCCUGGGGAGUACGGUCGCAAGAUUAAAACUCAAAGGAAUAGACGGGGACCCGCACAAGCGGUGGAGCAUGUGGUUUAAUUCGAAGAUACGCGAAGAACCUUACCUGGGCUUGAUAUCCUAAGAACCUUUUAGAGAUAAGAGGGUGCUAGCUUGCUAGAACUUAGAGACAGGUGCUGCACGGCUGUCGUCAGCUCGUGUCGUGAGAUGUUGGGUUAAGUCCCGCAACGAGCGCAACCCACGUAUUUAGUUGCUAACGGUUCGGCCGAGCACUCUAAAUAGACUGCCUUCGUAAGGAGGAGGAAGGUGUGGACGACGUCAAGUCAUCAUGGCCCUUAUGCCCAGGGCGACACACGUGCUACAAUGGCAUAUACAAUGAGACGCAAUACCGCGAGGUGGAGCAAAUCUAUAAAAUAUGUCCCAGUUCGGAUUGUUCUCUGCAACUCGAGAGCAUGAAGCCGGAAUCGCUAGUAAUCGUAGAUCAGCCAUGCUACGGUGAAUACGUUCCCGGGUCUUGUACUCACCGCCCGUCACACCAUGGGAGUUGAUUUCACUCGAAGCCGGAAUACUAAACUAGUUU
RNAcentral lists this ribosomal RNA (831 nucleotides) under Campylobacter sp. Its description in RNAcentral is "bacterial SSU rRNA". It matches the Rfam family "Bacterial small subunit ribosomal RNA", at positions 618 to 1446 of the family's 1533-position model. The record is from RNAcentral. Lineage: Bacteria; Pseudomonadati; Campylobacterota; Epsilonproteobacteria; Campylobacterales; Campylobacteraceae.